AAAGUUCCAUUGUCUUGCUUCUUU
RNAcentral lists this non-coding RNA (24 nucleotides) under Arabidopsis thaliana (thale cress). Lineage: Eukaryota; Viridiplantae; Streptophyta; Magnoliopsida; Brassicales; Brassicaceae. The record is from RNAcentral.